UUAGAGUUUGAUCCUGGCUCAGGACGAACGUUUGCGGCGUGCCUAACACAUGCAAGUCGAGCGAAUGAUUUUUCUUCGGGAACGGAUUUAGCGGCGGACGGGUGAGUAACACGUGGGCAACCUGCCUCAUAGAGGGGAAUAGCCUUCCGAAAGGGAGAUUAAUACCGCAUAAGAUUGUAGUACCGCAUGGUACAGCAAUUAAAGGAGCAAUCCGCUAUGAGAUGGACCCGCGUCGCAUUAGCUAGUUGGUGAGGUAACGGCUCACCAAGGCGACGAUGCGUAGCCGACCUGAGAGGGUGAUCGGCCACAUUGGGACUGAGACACGGCCCAGACUCCUACGGGAGGCAGCAGUGGGGAAUAUUGCACAAUGGGGGAAACCCUGAUGCAGCAACGCCGCGUGAGUGAUGACGGUCUUCGGAUUGUAAAGCUCUGUCUUUAGGGACGAUAAUGACGGUACCUAAGGAGGAAGCCACGGCUAACUACGUGCCAGCAGCCGCGGUAAUACGUAGGUGGCAAGCGUUGUCCGGAUUUACUGGGCGUAAAGGGAGCGUAGGUGGAUAUUUAAGUGGGAUGUGAAAUACCCGGGCUUAACCUGGGUGCUGCAUUCCAAACUGGAUAUCUAGAGUGCAGGAGAGGAAAGGAGAAUUCCUAGUGUAGCGGUGAAAUGCGUAGAGAUUAGGAAGAAUACCAGUGGCGAAGGCGCCUUUCUGGACUGUAACUGACACUGAGGCUCGAAAGCGUGGGGAGCAAACAGGAUUAGAUACCCUGGUAGUCCACGCCGUAAACGAUGAAAUACUAGGUGUAGGGGGUUGUCAUGACCUCUGUGCCGCCGCUAACGCAUUAAGUAUUCCGCCUGGGGAGUACGGUCGCAAGAUUAAAACUCAAAGGAAUUGACGGGGGCCCGCACAAGCAGCGGAGCAUGUGGUUUAAUUCGAAGCAACGCGAAGAACCUUACCUAGACUUGACAUCUCCUGAAUUACUCUGUAAUGGAGGAAGCCGCUUCGGCGGCAGGAAGACAGGUGGUGCAUGGUUGUCGUCAGCUCGUGUCGUGAGAUGUUGGGUUAAGUCCCGCAACGAGCGCAACCCUUAUUGUUAGUUGCUACCAUUUAGUUGAGCACUCUAGCGAGACUGCCCGGGUUAACCGGGAGGAAGGUGGGGAUGACGUCAAAUCAUCAUGCCCCUUAUGUCUAGGGCUACACACGUGCUACAAUGGUCGGUACAAUGAGAUGCAACCUCGCGAGAGUGAGCAAAACUAUAAAACCGAUUUCAGUUCGGAUUGUAGGCUGAAACUCGCCUACAUGAAGCUGGAGUUGCUAGUAAUCGCGAAUCAGAAUGUCGCGGUGAAUACGUUCCCGGGCCUUGUACACACCGCCCGUCA
RNAcentral lists this ribosomal RNA (1378 nucleotides) under uncultured bacterium. RNAcentral describes it as "16S ribosomal RNA". It matches the Rfam family "Bacterial small subunit ribosomal RNA". The record is from RNAcentral.